AAAUAAAAAACAGAAAGUAGAGCAAAAAUAUCUCACCAUCUGCAAAUCUACCACGUUGAAACUAAGACGGUGCGCGGCAUACCCAACCAUAGCCUAAAUUCAAUUCCAACAAACAAUCAGAAGCGACCAUCACUCUGACAAUAACAUAAUAGCCUAAAAGAGAAUCCCGCUCCAUUGUCUUGUAAAAAAAAAAAACAUGUCUGCAAACAGAGAACAAGGAUACUCCAAUCAUCAACCCACGAAUUGACAGUGGAGGUGCCAACCCUCACCAAUAGCCAAUCUUGUCAUUACCCUCAUCAUCAACCCUUCAUCGAAUAGCCAUCUCCUAUAAAAAUGGGGAGUAAGAAAAAAACAAAGGCAAGGUUAGAAACUAGAGGAAGUUAGAAAUGAAAGUGGAGAAUAGUUUUUUUGGGGUUCAAUUUAAAUCAUUUUCAAAGGGGCCCAAGUCCUCAAAAUCAGUGGAAAAGAAAGUUAAGAACAAAGGCAGCCUACCUAGAGGUGACUACCAUCAAAACAAUAAAAGAUAAAGAGAAGACCACAACUUUGAGCUCGGAUCUACGCAAAUCCAAUUUGAAGAAACCAAGCAGAUUACGUGAUAGAGGAGACUGAAACAAACCUCAAGAUAAAAACUAGGUUAGAACGGUCAUUGGUGAUGAGGUCGAUGGUGACUAGCGACGGCAGCGACAAUGGCAUCUUGUCAGGAUCUGAAAAUGUAUGGAGUUUUCUAGAGAAAGAUAGAGCAGAAAUUAUAAAGAGAAAGAAAG
This 764-nucleotide long non-coding RNA is filed under the name Durio zibethinus. RNAcentral's name for it is "long non-coding RNA (DZIB_LNC000143)". The record is from RNAcentral. Lineage: Eukaryota; Viridiplantae; Streptophyta; Magnoliopsida; Malvales; Malvaceae.